This 255-nucleotide ribosomal RNA is filed under the name Klebsiella pneumoniae. RNAcentral's name for it is "partial 23S ribosomal RNA". It matches the Rfam family "Bacterial large subunit ribosomal RNA", at positions 2102 to 2356 of the family's 2925-position model. Lineage: Bacteria; Pseudomonadati; Pseudomonadota; Gammaproteobacteria; Enterobacterales; Enterobacteriaceae. The record is from RNAcentral.
UACUAUAGCUUGACACUGAACAUUGAGCCUUGAUGUGUAGGAUAGGUGGGAGGCUUUGAAGCGUGGACGCCAGUCUGCGUGGAGCCAACCUUGAAAUACCACCCUUUAAUGUUUGAUGUUCUAACGUAGGCCCCUGACCGGGGUUGCGGACAGUGUCUGGUGGGUAGUUUGACUGGGGCGGUCUCCUCCCAAAGCGUAACGGAGGAGCACGAAGGUUAGCUAAUCCUGGUCGGACAUCAGGAGGUUAGUGCAAUG